This 652-nucleotide ribosomal RNA is filed under the name Sarcocystis hjorti. RNAcentral describes it as "SSU rRNA". It matches the Rfam family "Eukaryotic small subunit ribosomal RNA", at positions 455 to 1077 of the family's 1831-position model. The record is from RNAcentral. Lineage: Eukaryota; Apicomplexa; Conoidasida; Eucoccidiorida; Sarcocystidae.
CUCAGGGAGGUAGUGACAAGAAAUAACGACACUGGAAAUUUUAUUUCUAGUGAUUGGAAUGAUGGGAAUUUAAACCCCUUUCAGAGUAACAAUUGGAGGGCAAGUCUGGUGCCAGCAGCCGCGGUAAUUCCAGCUCCAAUAGCGUAUAUUAAAGUUGUUGCAGUUAAAAAGCUCGUAGUUGGAUGUCUGCUGGAAGCAAUCAGUCCGCCCUAUUUGUAGGGUGUGCACUUGAUGAAUUCUGGCAUCUAUGUCCUAAUGUGAUAGAUACGGCGGUGUAUAUGGGUUAAUCCUAUAUACCCGUUUGUAUAUUAUAUUGGGAUAAUACCGUUACCUUGAGAAAAUUAGAGUGUUUGAAGCAGGCUAAUUGCCUUGAAUACUGCAGCAUGGAAUAACAAUAUAGGAUUUCGGUUCUAUUUUGUUGGUUUCUAGGACUGAAAUAAUGAUUAAUAGGGACAGUUGGGGGCAUUCGUAUUUAACUGUCAGAGGUGAAAUUCUUAGAUUUGUUAAAGACGAACUACUGCGAAAGCAUUUGCCAAAGAUGUUUUCAUUAAUCAAGAACGAAAGUUAGGGGCUCGAAGACGAUCAGAUACCGUCGUAGUCUUAACCAUAAACUAUGCCGACUAGAGAUAGGAAACUGUCAUUUUUCUGACUU